ACUGGGCACAGUGGCGCCUGCCUAUAGUCCCAGCUACUUGGGAGGCUGAGGCAGAAGGAUCGCUUGAGCCCAGGAGUUUUGUGGUGUAGUGUGCUAUGCAGGUCAGGUGUCUACACUAAGUUUGGCAUCAAUAUGGUGACCUUCCAGGAGUCGGGACCACCAGGUUGCGUAAAGAGGGGUGAUUUGGCCCAGGUCAGAGAUGGAGCAGGUCAAAAUUCUGGGGCUGAACAAUAGUCUAAUUGUACCUGUGAAUAGUCACUGCCCUACAGCCUGGGCAAUAAAGCAAAACUUCAUCUCC
Molecule: signal recognition particle RNA, 298 nt
Filed under: Carlito syrichta (Philippine tarsier)
Lineage: Eukaryota; Metazoa; Chordata; Mammalia; Primates; Tarsiidae
Description: Metazoan signal recognition particle RNA (ENSTSYG00000031290.1)
Rfam family: Metazoan signal recognition particle RNA
About the family: The signal recognition particle (SRP) is a universally conserved ribonucleoprotein. It is involved in the co-translational targeting of proteins to membranes. The eukaryotic SRP consists of a 300-nucleotide 7S RNA and six proteins: SRPs 72, 68, 54, 19, 14, and 9.
Source: RNAcentral